AGCUAGUUGGUAGGGUAAAGGCCUACCAAGGCGACGAUCUGUAGCGGGUCUGAGAGGAUGAUCCGCCACAUUGGAACUGAGACACGGUCCAGACUCCUACGGGAGGCAGCAGUGGGGAAUUUUGGACAAUGGGGGCAACCCUGAUCCAGCCAUGCCGCGUGAGUGAAGAAGGCCUUCGGGUUGUAAAGCUCUUUCAGCCGGGAAGAAAACGCAUGGGUUAAUACCCUGUGUGGAUGACGGUACCGGAAUAAGAAGCACCGGCUAACUACGUGCCAGCAGCCGCGGUAAUACGUAGGGUGCGAGCGUUAGUCGGAAUUACUGGGCGUAAAGCGUGCGCAGGCGGUUUUGUAAGACAGGCGUGAAAUCCCCGGGCUUAACCUGGGAACUGCGUUUGUGACUGCAAGGCUAGAGUACGGCAGAGGGGGGUGGAAUUCCACGUGUAGCAGUGAAAUGCGUAGAGAUGUGGAGGAACACCAAUGGCGAAGGCAGCCCCCUGGGUCGAUACUGACGCUCAUGCACGAAAGCGUGGGUAGCAAACAGGAUUAGAUACCCUGGUAGUCCACGCCCUAAACGAUGUCAACUAGGUGUUGGGAGGGUAAAACCUUUUAGUACCGUAGCUAACGCGAGAAGUUGACCGCCUGGGGAGUACGGCCGCAAGGUUAAAACUCAAAGGAAUUGACGGGGACCCGCACAAGCGGUGGAUGAUGUGGAUUAAUUCGAUGCAACGCGAAAAACCUUACCUACCCUUGACAUGUCAGGAGCUUGCCAGAGAUGGCUUGGUGCCCGAAAGGGAACCUGAACACAGGUGCUGCAUGGCUGUCGUCAGCUCGUGUCGUGAGAUGUUGGGUUAAGUCCCGCAACGAGCGCAACCCUUGUCGUUAAUUGCCAUCAUUUAGUUGGGCACUUUAACGAGACUGCCGGUGACAAACCGGAGGAAGGUGGGGAUGACGUCAAGUCCUCAUGGCCCUUAUGGGUAGGGCUUCACACGUCAUACAAUGGUCGGUACAAAGGGUCGCCAACCCGCGAGGGGGAGCCAAUCCCAGAAAGCCGAUCGUAGUCCGGAUUGCAGGCUGCAACUCGCCUGCAUGAAGUCGGAAUCGCUAGUAAUCGUGGAUCAGCAUGUCACGGUGAAUACGUUCCCGGGUCUUGUACACACCGCCCGUCACACCAUGGGAGCGGGUUCCGCCAGAAGUAGGUAGCCUAACCGCAAGGAGGGCGCUUACCACGGCGGGGUUCGUGACUGGGGUGAAGUCGUAACAAGGUAGCCGUAGGGGAACCUGCGGCUG
RNAcentral lists this ribosomal RNA (1286 nucleotides) under metagenome. RNAcentral's name for it is "bacterial SSU rRNA". It matches the Rfam family "Bacterial small subunit ribosomal RNA", at positions 243 to 1520 of the family's 1533-position model. The record is from RNAcentral.